Triticum urartu is the source of this 133-nucleotide non-coding RNA. Lineage: Eukaryota; Viridiplantae; Streptophyta; Magnoliopsida; Poales; Poaceae. The record is from Rfam.
UAUAUACUCCCUCCGUUCCGAAUUAUUUGUCUUAGAUUUGUCUAGAUACGGAGGUAUCUAGCACUAAAAUGAGUAGAUACAUCCGUAUCUAGACAAAUUCAAGACAAGUAAUUCGAAACGGAGGGAGUAGAAA